Molecule: ribosomal RNA, 957 nt
Filed under: Adalia conglomerata
Lineage: Eukaryota; Metazoa; Arthropoda; Insecta; Coleoptera; Coccinellidae
Description: SSU rRNA
Rfam family: Eukaryotic small subunit ribosomal RNA
Source: RNAcentral
CCAAGGAAGGCAGCAGGCGCGCAAAUUACCCACUCCCAGCUCGGGGAGGUAGUGACGAAAAAUAACGAUACGGGACUCAUCCGAGGCCCCGUAAUCGGAAUGAGUACACUCUAAACCCUUUAACGAGGAUCAAUUGGAGGGCAAGUCUGGUGCCAGCAGCCGCGGUAAUUCCAGCUCCAAUAGCGUAUAUUAAAGUUGUUGCGGUUAAAAAGCUCGUAGUCGAAUUUGUGUCUCGCGCCGUUCGGUUCAUCGUUCGCGGUGUUAACUGGCGUGUCGCGAGACGUCCUGCCGGCGGGUCGUUCGCAAGGACGGCCCAACUGACCCCGCCGCGGUGCUCUUCAUUGAGUGUCGAGGUGGGCCGGCACGUUUACUUUGAACAAACUAAGGUGCUUAAAGCAGGCUGAAAUUUUGCCAGAAUAUUUUAUGCAUGGAAUAAUGAAACAGGACCUCGAUUCUAUUUUGUUGGUUUUCUGAACCUCGAGGUAAUGAUUAACAGGAACGGAUGGGGGCAUUCGUAUUGCGACGUUAGAGGUGAAAUUCUUGGAUCGUCGCAAGACGGACAGAAGCGAAAGCAUUUGCCAAAAACGUUUUCAUUGAUCAAGAACGAAAGUUAGAGGUUCGAAGGCGAUCAGAUACCGCCCUAGUUCUAACCAUAAACUAUGCCAGCUAGCGAUCCGCCGACGUUCCUCCGAUGACUCGGCGGGCAGCUUCCGGGAAACCAAAGCUUUUGGGUUCCGGGGGAAGUAUGGUUGCAAAGCUGAAACUUAAAGGAAUUGACGGAAGGGCACCACCAGGAGUGGAGCCUGCGGCUUAUUUUGACUCAACACGGGAAACCUCACCAGGCCCGGACACCGGAAGGAUUGACAGAUUGAGAGCUCUUUCUUGAUUCGGUGGGUGGUGGUGCAUGGCCGUUCUUAGUUGGUGGAGCGAUUUGUCUGGUUAAUUCCGAUAACGAAC